CGCACCCCUCCUUUCCCCGGAAUGGUGUCCCAAGAGGCCUCCUUAUCACAAUCUAACGCCAGCAGGCUGCUGCCAACCAGGAACACCUGGUGCACAGCCUGACUGUAGCAUUCUCCAGCUGUGUGGCCUCAGCCCAGUCUCUUCCCCUCUCUGACUGUGUUUCCCCCUCAGUAACAGAAGCUACCAAUAGUGGUUGUCGGGAUGUUGAGAUGAUUCACAGAAAAACUGUGGGUGUGGGCAGAGUCUGCUCUGCCUAGUGCCCAGGGAAGCACUGAGGAGGCGUUUGGGGACAGCUAACUAUGUCAUGUGCCCGUCAAGGCAGCCAUCAGGCCAGGUGGUGCUGACUGACUCAUGGGGGUGGAGAAAAUGGAACCAGCUAAAAAUACUGAAAUUCUGGCUUCAAUUAGGAACCCCAACCUGAGUCUCACCUAAGUCAGAAACAGGACUAGGUGACAUCUUCCAGCCCAAAGAGGUCCCUAGAACCAGUCACGUGCUAUUUUCUCCAUUUCAGAGAUGAGGAAACUGAGAUUCAACAGGAGGUCAUCUGCCAAGGUCACAGUGGAUUUUCUAACUCAGGUCUAUCUGGCUCUGUUUCCAACCCUGAGCCCAUGCUAUCUCCUACAAGAUAUCCCUUGAUCCUAUGUACCACCAUAGAGAUGUCCUGGGCUGAGACUCCCCAAUUCAAACCUCUCAUCAGGCCCAACCCAGAGCACAGCUAUGUCACUGCAGCAGCUAGAGAGGAACCUGUGGACUCCUGGGCUUACUCACCAUGGCGCUCACCACCCGGCCCACGUAGACAGGUCUGCUGCGGCGCGAGCAGUCUUGGCCAGCAUUCUUCAGGAACUUGGGGUUGGUGUCCAAGAGCAUCAGGCAAAUAUCCAGGAUCCCAUCUUCAAACUGUCAGAAGGAGCGGACAGUGAAGAUCCCCAGCCACUGCAGCCCCCACCCCACCUGCUCCCUCUCACACAGCAGCCUGGGAGGGAGUGCAGGGGACGUAAGUGUGUGAGCAGUGGUCCGGGGGGCACCUGCACUCUGGGUCUGUCUGGGGACCUGGGUGUUGGCACAGAGCACGCAGAGUGGGGAACGAAGCUCCUCAGGGCCCCCGGGCCUGCCUCUGGCCGCUCUCUCUCUGCACAGCCAAGUCUCGGCCACUCCUGCCGAGGGCCUGACUCACCCAGCACAGCCCCCGCCCAGCCCCCACUCCGCUGAUCCGAGCGGAGGCAGAUGGCAUUUCAAACACACCCAGGGUGAAAUCUUGACUCCCGAUCCGUGCUCACCCUCUUUGACCUCAUCUCUCUCUACUUUCACCCACACUCAUUCCGUCCCAGCUCACUGCUUUGGGGCCUUUGUACUAGCUGCUUUGUAUGCUUGGAAUGAAUGCCCUUCCUGCUGCUGUCUGUACGCCUCGUGUUGCAGGUGAAGCUAUAUGUAUCAAAGACAGGACUCCGGCUUUGCCACCUUCCAUGCCCUGCCCAUCUGACACCCAUCAGAGGCCACCACUUUGCUGACCCUCAGAUUGGCUAAGGAGCUGCUGGGCAGAUCCACUUGUGAUGAUGUUCAGAUGAGGAAACUGCAGGCAGCGUGAGCACACAGGAUGACUUUUCUAUGUCCACGGGACGACUCUCUAAGCCUGACCAUUGGACCCUGGCCCAUAGGCUUUGGAAACCUCAAGGUGAACCCUACUCUGGUGACCAACACUCCCAGACACUGCAAGAAAUUGAGGGACUGGGUGGGUGGGGUCACUGCUUCAUGCCUGUCCUCUGCAGACUCUCCUGGUGUUUUCCAGGAGGCUGGAUAAUUGAGGAAAUCAGUGUUGGUUUAGAGAACCAGUCUGGGCACUGGCUGGAGAACAGGAAACCAUGGAACAGCAAUGAGCUGCCCAGCACAACCCCAUCCACGGCUAACCACCCGAGACCUGGAUUGCCCAGAGUGUUGUAAGACCUAAGAAGUAGAUAUAGCUCAGAGAUGUAAGUGCCUGUCUGGCAAGCACAAAGUCCUGAGCUCAAUUCCCAGUGCUGUCCCCCAUGCAAGACAUAAGAAGUGCUUGUUAGCCAGGUAUUGCAGUAUACAACUGUAAUCCCAGUACCACAGGGAGGCUGAGCAGAAGGAUUACAAAUUUGAGCCCAGCCUAGGCUACUUAACAAGACCAUGACUCAAAAAACAAGCUAAAAAGAGAGAGAGAGAGAGAGAGAGAAUAAAGGAAAGGAAAGGAAGAGAAAGGGGAAAAUGGUAGUUGUUUUAGUCUCUGUUUCAGGUUUGCUUGUUACUGAACAUCUAGGGUCAGGGAGUCUAGCUGCUACAAACACAUCAGAAAAUGGUUCUCAAGAUGGCUUGCCAGACAGCACUGGCAUCCCCAGGGGCCCUGUCAGAGAUGCCCUGAAUCAGACACCAAGAAUGGGGCUCAGCAACCUAGGCUUUGACUCGUUUUCUGGUGGCUCUGAUGCACACACCAGUUUGAGGACCACUGCUCUGGACAGUGGUAUAAGACCCCUCCUCACACACACCUAGCAUAGCCUCAGUGACCUCCAGGUACUGAGUGUUAUGCUGAUAUAUAACCUAAUUGCUCCUCUUUAGAGAAUACUAACCAACUUCACGGCUCAUAGAGAGUCUCUUAAUUCUUUCCCCACCUUGAAUCCAGGGCCAGUGCUUCUGCUGUGUGACUUCAGGCCAGCCUUGACCCUGACUGACACUUCAGCCAUUUCAGGGCCCUUGACCCCAGACAGGCUGGGGUGGGAGAUUUUUUGACCUACAGAGUGGCAUCUCAGGAUGCUUCAUUUUUUAAACAGUGCUUCAGGUAGGAGGACUGAGGUGGUCACUGGGGGCAGAUGGGAUCCUACCUGCCCGAAGUUCCAAGGUAUGCCAUUGAUGAACUUGGCCGAGCCCUGGUAGAUGAAGCCCUGUUGGGUGAGCACAUACUCCUGCCGCUCUUGGUCUGAGUCCAUAUAGACAGCAUCCGCUACGGGCAGAAGAGGGUAUGGGAUUAGCUCUGGACUUAGCGAGGCCUGGGCUCCUUGCAAAGAUGGCAGCUGGGGUGCCAACUCCCCAGGCCAUGUCAGCAUCUCAGAGGCCCUUCAACCUUGGAAUCAGAAAAAGCAAUCAUUAAUUAUUAACUCAUGCUAAGGAGAUAAGAUGUUAUCAGUCAGUGACAUCCGAGGCUGCCAUUUAUCCCACAGUUGGUGUCAGGACUUGUAAUAAAUGGAUGGUGUAUAAUUUAUUUAUUCUCCCCAAGAGGCCCACAAGGAAGAGGCUUUUGAAAACCUCUUUUUAAAGAUGGGAAAACUAAGGCUCAAGAAGAUUUCACAGCUAGGACAACUGACGCUAAAACAAGAGAUCGAGGAGUAUCAAACCAGGAGUCAAGAAAUCCUUCACUGUGACUUCACUAGGUGUGUGACCCUAUGCAGGUCAUUUCACCUCUCCGCCCACCUCUGCACAUUGCUGAAUGAGCCUGAGAAGUAUCACAUGGCUUGGGGAGGCAGGUUCUACCCAGCCUGGGGGCAAGGAGGACCCCCUGGAGGAAGGGGCACCUGAACACUGCUCUGAGAUUUACCUGGGCCUGGCAGGUGACAUUCCGGGCAGCAGACCAGAGGGGUCACACUUUGGCCGCUGGAAAAUGCGCUGGGGCCAACGAAGGAGAAAAGCGGGUAGAGGAAAGUGAGGCAGAAGCCUGCAAGUCAGGUUGGUUUUGUGAUGUUCACUUCACAGAUGGGGAAACUGAGGCUGGGACAGGGAAAUCUAGAGCCACGAGGGACUUCAGUGGGCCCUGGGCAUCUCUCCUUCAUGGAUUGUCUCCAUCAUAAAAUAAAUAUUAAUAUCACAUCAUGAAACAUAUAAUUUAA
This is a long non-coding RNA of Cavia porcellus (domestic guinea pig), 3836 nucleotides long. RefSeq lists it as uncharacterized. The record is from RefSeq and is a predicted model, not a curated record. NCBI's taxonomy places the organism in Eukaryota, Metazoa, Chordata, Mammalia, Rodentia, Caviidae. The transcript is spliced from 4 exons.